GAUGAACGCUGGCGGCGUGCCUAAUACAUGCAAGUCGAGCGAACAGACGAGGAGCUUGCUCCUCUGACGUUAGCGGCGGACGGGUGAGUAACACGUGGAUAACCUACCUAUAAGACUGGGAUAACUUCGGGAAACCGGAGCUAAUACCGGAUAAUAUAUUGAACCGCAUGGUUCAAUAGUGAAAGACGGUUUUGCUGUCACUUAUAGAUGGAUCCGCGCCGCAUUAGCUAGUUGGUAAGGUAACGGCUUACCAAGGCAACGAUGCGUAGCCGACCUGAGAGGGUGAUCGGCCACACUGGAACUGAGACACGGUCCAGACUCCUACGGGAGGCAGCAGUAGGGAAUCUUCCGCAGUGGGCGAAAGCCUGACGGAACAACGCCGCGUGAGUGAUGAAGGUCUUCGGAUCGUAAAACUCUGUUAUUAGGGAAGAACAAAUGUGUAAGUAACUAUGCACGUCUUGACGGUACCUAAUCAGAAAGCCACGGCUAACUACGUG
RNAcentral lists this ribosomal RNA (497 nucleotides) under uncultured bacterium. Its description in RNAcentral is "partial 16S ribosomal RNA". It matches the Rfam family "Bacterial small subunit ribosomal RNA", at positions 28 to 507 of the family's 1533-position model. The record is from RNAcentral.